UAUUUACAUAUAGUAAUGACAUGCCAUCUACAAUAUAAGAAAAUAAGAUGUUCUUUAAAAUACUAAACUGCCCCUGCUGCCUAUAUGGUUGACACGUGGAUAGACUGGCUGAUAAGCAUUCAAAUUCUUUUUCCCAUCUUUUCCCUCUUCCCUUCCCUUCCUUGUCUUUCCACUCUCUUUCAUUUUCUCUCUCUCUCUCUCUCUCUCUCUCUCUCUCCCAAAACUCAGAUUUUCACACCUUCUUCUAUCUCCUUCUUCUGGUGGUGAGGUUGCAAUUUUCGGUGGUGGUGGAUCUGAGCGUUUUCGUGUGGUUUGGAGGUGGUGAGGUUGCGAUUUUUUACGGCGGUGGAUCUGUGCGUUUUCGUGUGGUGUGGAUGGAGAAGUUACAAUCUUUACUUACUCAAGUAUACACUCCUUUUAAGUUGUUUGAGUUAGGUUUUGGAUGGGCAUGGAAGUCCUGAUGCAGCUGUGUUUGUUAAGAAAAAUGCUAUGAAAAUAUUUUUUUGAAGACGUUACAAUGCUGCAGUCAUAUGACACUGAUGCACUUCUAAUUAAGAGGUUGGAAGAUUCUCAUCAGAAAGUUUUUCUAGGUGUCGACCUUGCGAUGGUUGAUGAACAGAGUAUUAGUAGUUCUUCUGGGACAACAACACUGACUGCCCUGAUACUUGGAAAGCAUUUGCUUGUUGCUAAUGUCGGUGAUUGUCGAGUAGUUUUUUAAGAGGACCACAGACGGAGUUAUUCUUUGUUUUGUUUUCACUAUGGGUUUUUUUAGAAAAACUACUUCAUACUGUUAUGUAAUAUAUUUGAUAUACCUACUGCAUAUUUAAGCAAUUUGGAAUAAUUGUUGUGAAAUCAACUUGUAGGUUCACUUUGUCUUAAAAGAACUUGUGAGAAAAUCAAUAGGUGAAACUGAGGAGCUGAGACGUUUCCCUACUCUUCAAACCGAAUUAUCUGCAGCUACAAAUGAGGCUCUAGAGAGAUUCCGUGAAGCGAGUAAGAAGACAACUAUUCGGCUUGUGGAUAUGGAGUCUUCAUAUCUUACUGUGGAUUUCUUUCGGAAACUUCCUCAAGAAAUGGAGAAAGCUGGUAAUCUAGGGAUACCUUCUAAUCCAGCUCAACCUACUAAUCCAUCUAAUUGUCCUAUCUCUAACCCAAUCGAGGAUCGAUAUGGUGAUAGGCAUUUUAGAAGGAUUGGAUCAAAUGUGUCAUCCUAUAUAGGUUUGGUGUCUGACACACUCAAGAUCACUAUUCCAAACGCCGUGGUUUAUUGUCAGGUCAGAGAAGCAAAACUAUCAUUGCUAAGCUAUUUCUUCACACAAACUGGGAAAAAAGAGAUGUCUUCAGUUUUGGUGUGGUACUUCUUGAGCUUAUCAGUGGUCGACAUCCUAUUCAUAAAACGCGUACCAAAUGGACAGAGAAGAGCAUCUUGUAUGGUGUUUCUUUGUCAGCUAUCAGCAAAAGUUUGGCCCUGAUCGAUCCAGAAGUAUCUAAAACUCAAAAGCUUAGAUGCUGGGUAUAAAGCAUGGUGCUCUUGCUAAAGUGAAUGAUCCUAAAGUGAAGCAAUUUAUAGAGAAGCAAUUUAUAGAGAUGUUUUUGAAGUAGAAUUCAGUUUUGAAGGAAUGGGUGACACUGAAAUUGUGUCUUUGUCGGUGUUUGUGUUCGAAAGCGAUACCGAAAUUAUGAUCACUUUUGGUGCCACUACAAAUAUGAAGAUGGAUCUAUUUGGUGCUGGCGUUAUAACAUCUGUAUCCUUAAUACACAUGUAGUCUGAUACUUUAAUAUAUACGGUCAUUUUUCUACAAAUAUUAAUAUUAUGAUUUAAUAUAAGAAUUUUAUAAUUUAAUGAUAUUAAUAUUUUAAUGAUUUAAUAUAUUAUUUUUAUUUUUAUUUGUCAAUCUCAGAUUUUUACUUUUAUUGAUAUUAAUAUUUUUGAUGGUGAUCAAUAAUAGAAAACAAAUUUUGACUGCAUCAUAACUUAUAUUUUUUUAAAGUACAAAUUAAAA
This is a long non-coding RNA of Vicia villosa (hairy vetch), 2003 nucleotides long. RefSeq lists it as uncharacterized. The transcript is spliced from 9 exons. NCBI's taxonomy places the organism in Eukaryota, Viridiplantae, Streptophyta, Magnoliopsida, Fabales, Fabaceae. The record is from RefSeq and is a predicted model, not a curated record.